RNAcentral lists this ribosomal RNA (157 nucleotides) under Hoylesella shahii DSM 15611 = JCM 12083. Lineage: Bacteria; Pseudomonadati; Bacteroidota; Bacteroidia; Bacteroidales; Prevotellaceae. The record is from RNAcentral.
CCUUUACAUUCUUUACUUGCUUGUGCGAUACUUUCAACCCCUAAUCAGGUGGUUAUUGCGGCGGUGUCCCACCUCUUCCCAUUCCGAACAGAGAAGUUAAGCCCGCUUGCGCCGAUGGUACUGCAAUGCAAUGCGGGAGAGUAGGUGGCCGCCUUUU